Molecule: ribosomal RNA, 899 nt
Filed under: Pestalotiopsis malayana
Lineage: Eukaryota; Fungi; Ascomycota; Sordariomycetes; Amphisphaeriales; Sporocadaceae
Description: LSU rRNA
Rfam family: Eukaryotic large subunit ribosomal RNA
Source: RNAcentral
CAUAUCAAUAAGCGGAGGAAAAGAAACCAACAGGGAUUGCCUUAGUAACGGCGAGUGAAGCGGCAACAGCUCAAAUUUGAAAUCUGGCCCUCGGGUCCGAAUUGUAAUUUGUAGAGGAUGAUUUUGGUGCGGUAUCUUCCGAGUUCCUUGGAACAGGACGCCUUAGAGGGUGAGAGCCCCGUACGGUUGAAUGCCUAGCCUCUGUAAAUCUCCUUCGACGAGUCGAGUAGUUUGGGAAUGCUGCUCUAAAUGGGAGGUAAAUUUCUUCUAAAGCUAAAUAUUGGCCAGAGACCGAUAGCGCACAAGUAGAGUGAUCGAAAGAUGAAAAGCACUUUGAAAAGAGGGUUAAAUAGCACGUGAAAUUGUUGAAAGGGAAGGAUUUGUGACCAGACUUUUUCUGGGCGGAUCAUCCGGGGUUCUCUCCGGUGCACUUUGCCCAGUAAAGGCCAGCAUCGAUUUUCGGCGGCGGAUAAAAGCAGUGGGAAUGUGGCUCCCCUCGGGGAGUGUUAUAGCCCAUUGUAUAAUACGCUGCUGGGGAUCGAGGUACGCGCUUCUGCAAGGAUGCUGGCGUAAUGGUUAUCAAUCACCCGUCUUGAAACACGGACCAAGGAGUCGAACAUUUAUGCGAGUGUUUGGGUGUUAAACCCUCACGCGUAAUGAAAGUGAACGGAGGUGAGAGCCCGUACGGGUGCAUCAUCGACCGAUCCUGAAGUUUUCGGAUGGAUUUGAGUAAGAGCAUAACUGUUCGGACCCGAAAGAUGGUGAACUAUGCGUGGAUAGGGUGAAGCCAGAGGAAACUCUGGUGGAGGCUCGCAGCGGUUCUGACGUGCAAAUCGAUCGUCAAAUCUGCGCAUGGGGGCGAAAGACUAAUCGAACCAUCUAGUAGCUGGUUACCGCCG